Molecule: long non-coding RNA, 523 nt
Filed under: Nicotiana benthamiana
Lineage: Eukaryota; Viridiplantae; Streptophyta; Magnoliopsida; Solanales; Solanaceae
Description: long non-coding RNA (NBEN_LNC027067)
Source: RNAcentral
UUUUGUGUCUUGAUGAGUUGGUGCAAACUAAUAUGUGUGUAUAUAUAUAUAUAUAGUGUUGCCAGCACAGGAGAACAAAGAGGACACCAAUGAUGAAAAUCUUAACCAAUGUCCAAGGAAAAGAAAGAGAGACAGUAUUGGUUACGACUGUCCGUCAUUUUCUCUUUUAACUCCUAAUCCUACAAGUACCCAAAUGGACGUUGAUGCUGCUGUGACUAUGGAGGUCGAAUAAAAUGUUGAGGAAGAACUUGGUAGAGGGAAAAGGAACAAAAAACUUAGCUGGUCGUUGAAAUCUCCCUCUGAUAAGGAGAGAAAAGUAGUAAGUUCCAAGGCGGACAAUCAAAAUACACCGAAGAGUGCAGGUUGGGUAAAAGCAACAUACACUCGUAGGUGUAUUUUUCAUUAUACCUCUGAAGAUGAAAAAUUGAUGAGAAAUUCAAUGUGUGGUUUGACUUGUAAGUGUAUUUUUUAUUAUACCUCUGAAGAUUAAAAAUUGAUGAAGAAAUUCACUGUGUGGUUGGGC